Molecule: transfer RNA, 72 nt
Filed under: Roseburia intestinalis
Lineage: Bacteria; Bacillati; Bacillota; Clostridia; Lachnospirales; Lachnospiraceae
Also listed under: 2 other names
Description: tRNA-His
Rfam family: tRNA
About the family: Transfer RNA (tRNA) molecules are approximately 80 nucleotides in length. Their secondary structure includes four short double-helical elements and three loops (D, anti-codon, and T loops).
Source: RNAcentral
GUGGCCAUAGGAUAACGGUCAGUCCGUCAGAUUGUGGUUCUGAACAUGAGGGUUCGACUCCCUCUGGUCACA